This 73-nucleotide transfer RNA is filed under the name Stegodyphus mimosarum. It matches the Rfam family "tRNA". From Rfam's summary of the family: Transfer RNA (tRNA) molecules are approximately 80 nucleotides in length. Their secondary structure includes four short double-helical elements and three loops (D, anti-codon, and T loops). The record is from Rfam by way of RNAcentral. Lineage: Eukaryota; Metazoa; Arthropoda; Arachnida; Araneae; Eresidae.
GCCUUAGUGGUGUAGUAGUCAGCACGCUCGACGCGUAAUCGAGAGGUCAGUGGUUCGAUUCCCGGCGAGGGCA